RNAcentral lists this ribosomal RNA (254 nucleotides) under uncultured bacterium. Its description in RNAcentral is "partial 16S ribosomal RNA". It matches the Rfam family "Bacterial small subunit ribosomal RNA", at positions 524 to 776 of the family's 1533-position model. The record is from RNAcentral.
UACGGGGGGAGCAAGCGUUGUUCGGAUUUACUGGGCGUAAAGGGCGCGUAGGCGGCCAGCACAAGUCAGUUGUGAAAUCUCCGGGCUUAACUCGGAAAGGUCAACUGAUACUGUGCGGCUAGAGUGCAGAAGGGGCAACUGGAAUUCUCGGUGUAGCGGUGAAAUGCGUAGAUAUCGAGAGGAACACCUGCGGCGAAGGCGGGUUGCUGGGCUGACACUGACGCUGAUGCGCGAAAGCUAGGGGAGCAAACAGG